This 295-nucleotide signal recognition particle RNA is filed under the name Cebus imitator (Panamanian white-faced capuchin). RNAcentral's name for it is "Metazoan signal recognition particle RNA (ENSCCAG00000004706.1)". It matches the Rfam family "Metazoan signal recognition particle RNA". From Rfam's summary of the family: The signal recognition particle (SRP) is a universally conserved ribonucleoprotein. It is involved in the co-translational targeting of proteins to membranes. The record is from RNAcentral. Lineage: Eukaryota; Metazoa; Chordata; Mammalia; Primates; Cebidae.
GCCGGGCACGGUGGCACGUCCUGUAGUCCCAGCUACUCUGUAGGCUGAGGUGGGAGGAUCGCUUGAGCCCAGGAGUUCUGGGCUGUAGUGUGCUAUGCCGAUCGGGUGUCCGCACUAAGUUCAGGAUCAAUAUGGUGACCUCCCGGGAGCAGGGGACCACCAGGUUGCCUAAGGAGGGGUGAACCAACCCAGGUCGGAAACAGAGCAGGCCAAUACUCCCGUGAUCAGUAGUGGGAUUGUGCCUGUGAAUAGCCAUGGCAUUCCAGCCUGGGCAACAUAGCUAGACCCUGUCUCU